CUCUACUGCUGAGCCACCAGGGAAGCCCGUCCUGUUUAAUAAGUCCAAAAAUUUAAAUAAAUUGCUUUCCUGAAGUUCUGUGAGUCAUUCUAGCACAUUAUCAAACCUGUUGUAGGAAUUCCCUGAAUUUAUAGCCCAUCAGUCAGAAGUACAGGUGACACGUGGGGCUCAUGACUGGUAUUUGAAGUAGGGUAGUCUUAGCCUUUGUCUUAGUCUGAGCCCUUACCCUGUGGAAUCUAUGCUAACUCUAAUCGUGUGUGGGCUCAGUUGCUGUCAUGUCCAGCUCUUUGUAACUCCAUGGACUGUCGCCCACCAGGCUCCUCUGGUGGGAGACAGUCCCCACCAGACCCAGGGAUUGAACUCCUGUCUCUUGCAUCUCCUGCACUGACAGAUUCUUUACCACUGCACCACCUGGGAAACCCAACUCUGGGUAGUUAGUGUUAGACUGAACUGGACUGUAGGACCCUCCACUCGUGUCCAGAGAAUUAGAGAACUGGUUGCUGGUGUUAGAAAACAUCACAGAGUAAGUAUAUGUACAGGUAAAUUACAAGCAUCAUUACAAUUCUCCCCUAAAUAUUUUGGCCUGUCUCACCUACAUAUUUUGGCCUGUCUCACCUAAAAAUAACAUGCACCAACAGACGCGCCCAAUGUAGCAUUUUCACACUUAGCAAAAAUUAACAAUUUCCUAAUGUCAUCUAACAUGCAGUCCAUAUUCAGAUUUUUCCAAAUGUCCCUUAAAUGUCUUUUAUGGCUGUUUCUAUUUUCCAUAUCAAGAUUCAAGGAGAAUCACAAAUUCCAUCUGGUUUUGAUGUCUCUUUACUUUCCUCUUUUCUAAAAGAUCCCUACCCUUUCAUCAAUGACAUUGGGAAGCGUCCAGGCCAAUUAUCUUGUAGAACGUCCCACAUUCUGGAUUUCUGUGAUUGUUUCCUCAGGCAGGGGUGUGCUAUGUAACUUUUCUAGGCUUAUAUCCCCAUCUGUGAAAUGGGUAUCCUCACAGUAGCUGCCGCCGGUUACUCCACACGGUAGAUGCGAGGAUUAAAUGCAGAAAUGCUUGGCAAGUGCUCGGUCUGGUAUUUGGCACAAAGUAAAUGGUGCUAUUGACAUUGCCAUCAGCAUCCUCCGCAUCACCAGCACGGUGCUCAGCACCCCAGGUUCCAAGCCGCAGUGACACGUGAACUCGCCCGAUCCUUUCCUCACCCUUCCGGGAUCUCAGGCUCAUUUUGCUCUGUUCCUUCUGUCCUGCAGAGCUUAAUUGAUUAAAUGCAUCUCUCACUAGCCCCUCCAAGAACGGGUGGUUAACCUCUACCCGUCCUCCUAAGGACACGCUCUUUGUUCAGAAUCACAGUUGCAUUACCCCAGAAUGGCUCAGACGAUCGUGAGGCAUUGACCGGUGCGGUGCCCACCCAAGAAGGAAAAUUUCCUUAAAUUAUACAUGAAUUGCUGAAGUAGCAUUCCCGUUGCCUUGGAAAGGUGCAAAGGAUUGCACUCGCGAAACCUUAGUGGAAGGGAAUGUCUGUGGUCAGGAGCGGCACCAACCUGGCAGUCAGACCGACCUUAGACUCCUAGCCCCGUUACUUCCCUGCUGACUAGCUUUGGGCUAAUUACUUUACCUCAUUAAGAUCAACGUCCUCAUCUGUGAAAUAGAGAUGAGAACACUGAAGCUUAACGAGGCUAAGUCACUUGCCCAAAUGUGGAGGACUGCAAAAAUGACCACAACUCUCCAUCCACCGCUGUGUUUGUCACAUUGCUGUCACCUGGCAAAGGGACUCUGCAGCUCUCCCCACCAAGAGUGGAAUUUGUUCUCCCACCCACUGGCCUCGUGGUCAACUUGAACCAGAAGAAUGUGGGGGAGGGAUGAUGGGCCAGUUCCAAGCAUAGGCCUCAAGAGGCCAGCCAUGUUUCUGCUCGUUCUUCUGGAGCCCUGACAUGACUAUCUGUACAAGGCCUGGCUGGCUUACUGCAGAGCGAGAGGCUGGGCAGACCAGAGUCCUGCUGUUCCAGCUGUGGCCCAGCCACGUGGCAGAGCCCAGCCAAGAUCAGCAAAGCCACUUCUCCAACUGCAGCUGAGCCCAGACACAGAGUGAGACUGGGAGAGGCCAGAACAACCAGCUAUUGACCACAGAUUCAUG
Molecule: long non-coding RNA, 2129 nt
Organism: Bos taurus (domestic cattle)
Lineage: Eukaryota; Metazoa; Chordata; Mammalia; Artiodactyla; Bovidae
Source: Ensembl